RNAcentral lists this ribosomal RNA (375 nucleotides) under uncultured bacterium. RNAcentral describes it as "bacterial SSU rRNA". It matches the Rfam family "Bacterial small subunit ribosomal RNA", at positions 524 to 898 of the family's 1533-position model. The record is from RNAcentral.
UACGGAGGGCGCAAGCGUUAAUCGGAAUUACUGGGCGUAAAGCGCACGCAGGCGGUCUGUCAAGUCGGAUGUGAAAUCCCCGGGCUCAACCUGGGAACUGCAUUCGAAACUGGCAGGCUAGAGUCUUGUAGAGGGGGGUAGAAUUCCAGGUGUAGCGGUGAAAUGCGUAGAUAUCUGGAGGAAUACCGGUGGCGAAGGCGGCCCCCUGGACAAAGACUGACGCUCAGGCGCGAAAGCGGGGGGAGCAAACAGGAUUAGAUACCCUGGUAGUCCACGCCGUAAACGAUGUAGACUUGGAGGUUGUGCCCUUGAGGCGUGGCUUCCGGAGCUAACGCGUUAAGUCGACCGCCUGGGGAGUACGGCCGCAAGGUUAAA